UUUUUUUUUUAAGUAAAGGAAAUUGAAUUGCUAAAACAAUGGCCAAAAGACACGUUACAUCAUAUGUUGGGCUCUACGCAAUCUGUUGAUAGAGACCUACAAACACCAUGACCGGUACCCUAAUUGAUAACUAAUUAAUAAUUAAGCUCAAGACAAGCCUCGAGCAUAGGAGGUACACCAUGUUGGUGUUGGUGGUGUAGAAGCAUGUAACAAUACAGGCAUCAAUCAACAAGUGAAGAAUCCCGUUAGAAACCCAAUUUACAGAGAAAAGACUAAUCUCAUGUUGCAUGUGGCUAAACCAAAAGAGUCUUCAAGCCGGCUGGUCAUAAACUUGUAGGAGUUGAGACUUGAACUUUGGAUAUGAAGUUUCAUUCUAUGCAACUCGACCAACUUAACCAUACCAUGUGGUUGGAAAAUUAGGGUUUUGAAUUACAACAUAAGUAUUCUAUACAUAAGAGAUAUUGUAUAUCUUUUCAUUUUUCUUGGUUGCUUGCAUAACAUAGCCACUAUUAUAUACCUGCAUUGUUGUGCAACGACCAUAAUGAUAUAUGCAUACAAACAAGCUGGCUAGGCUAGCUUUGAGGUAUAUAUUGCAUUUCGAAUUCACUUUUUAAAAUCAUGAUCUUUUGAAUCGGGUAUUUUCAUGGGGUCACUAGAAGUCGAUCGAGAGCCAUAUAAUACAUCUGCUAUAGUAAUAUUAAUUCUGCAUGACCUCAUGAACAGUUGGAUCAGUACUGCAAAUAAUACCUAAAAUGAUCUGGAAAAAUUACAUUAUCAUCAUGAGUGAGAGUACAUGUAUUAUUUACUUAAUUAUUAGAAUAUGUAAUAUAUAUUUAUAAACAUAUAUAUAGGAAAAAAAAAAUUAUGUACAUAAGGGAUUGGGGGACCAUAAACAACCCAUACCUUUAAAUCCCAAUAAAAUAAAAAGAGAUCUUGAUCACAUGGACACAUGUGAAGAUGAUGGAGAUAUGGUUUUCAAAUAUUCAUUGUUCUAGCCUUCAUACCAUUUUCUGUUUUUCUCUUAACUUAUUAUGAAAAAACAGUUUAAUUUCCAAUCAAUUUAUCAUUUUUUCGACCGUUAAAAUUCGACCAGUCUAUAAUAUAUAUACGAUUAAUUAUGUAAAAUUAAGAAUAUGUUAGAAACUUUUUUUCUUUCUUCAUAAUAGAUACUUUUUUUUGUUUGGAAAUGAUACAUUUUACUUCUUGAUCAAAGCUAUAGUGCUUGUAUAAUUUUGUUUACCCUAGCCUUGUGACAUAUUACCCCACUGCGCACUCACUCACUGGGAAAGUGAGGCAUUUUAUGGGUAAAACCCUACUUACUACCGACCCAGGCCACCCAUUUUUCCACACUCUCCUCCUUUCUCUCUGUCUAUAAAGCUGGCCUUCGUUGGUAGACAGAUUAUAUAUUGCAGCUUAGAGUGGUCCUUGUGAGUGAGACUUUGUAUGCCUGUAUGGGUAUGGACAUUCCCAACUCUCUCAUUCUCUCAUUCUAUCUCUCUUUCUCUCAACACAGAAAUUGAGCUUACCUACUACUCAGUAGUACUAUAUAUCGAUCUUGCUCCUGGUGAGCUUCAGAUCGAAAGAGAGAUGUGAGAUCUGAAGCUAGAAGAAAACUGUGUGUAAUUCUCAAGUCCUGGUCAUGCUUUUCCACAGCUUUCUUGAACUUCAAUUCUCUGCUAACAAUCUGUAAUCUCUUGCAAGAGUAUUAGCACAAUGUUUGGGAGCUCAAGAAAGCUGUGGGACAACAUGACAACCCAGGAUUUUUCCACCCCUUUCUUCAUUAUUUGCUCACAAUGUGGCUGCAAAUGAAGUAUGGAUCUAAAUACUUUCCAAUCUGCAGGUAAUUCUCCAUCUUUUCUUUGAUAUAAUUCAGACCCGAUUCGUCAAAAUCUUUUCUUUUAUUUUCUAAUCUAAUUCAAGGGAUGUUUUUCUCACAAUUCUCUCAUAAUUUGAGCAGAUUUACAUCUUUUGGCUGUAAUUACCUGUAUUAAUGUGGCCCCUCAUGACAAAAGCUUGUCUCUGCAUUUUCUUUAAGUAAUACUAUGUCCUGGUGCUGCUGAAUUACAAAUGUGGGUUAGUUUCCAUAAUUGUCUGCAAAUUUUUGACAGAACUACUCUUUUUAAACCCAUGAGUAGUACAGAAUAUAGAAGAAUUUCCUAAAACUUUAUUAGAUAUACUGGCACACGUUUGAGCCAUGCAGAAUGGUAAAUUUUAUAAAUGCUGUUGUUUUUUUUUUUCUUGUUGUCUGGUACAUUUAGGUGAAAUUUCCAUUUCCAGUUGAAAAUAUAUUCUGACUUCCAAUUCAAUGAAUGAGGCGAAAAAUGAGUUUUGGUUCAGAGAAGAUUCCCCUUCCUAUCUUUCCUUUAUAUUAUCAAUGAUGACACACUUGGAUUCCUGCUGCUAGGCUUUUAAUUUUGCUUCCUUCCACAUCUUCUCCUACAUUUCUGUGAAAAAGGUUAAACUUUGUCCUUAUCUGACAGUUUUUUUUUAACCAUACUCAUCACCAUUUGUUUUUUUACUCUCUCUCUCUCUNNNNNNNNNNNNNNNNNNNNUUACUUUUCUUCUCUCUCUCUCUCUCUCUCUCUCUCUCUCUCUCUCUCACUAUUGUCACUCACUUUUAUGAUUCUGUGAUUGUAUUUGCUAUGAUGUACUUGUACAGCUGAAUCUACUCAAUCAUGCUUCCCCUGAUCCAAGACUCAAAAAUUUCAAAAUCAUGCAAAAACAGUAAAAAGUUUUAUCCUCUUAAUUUUCUGUCAGUCACUAAAUUAUUACAUCAAAGUUACAAAAAUCCAGAGACAAGUUUCUGCAGAGAAUUAAGAAACAGAUAGAUCACCAAAUCUCUGAAUUAAGAAACAAGUUGGUAAGGGUUGUUGAGGCUUCAAUAAUAGCUCCUUUCUUCAAUUUAGUAAGAUUAAUGGACUACUCCUUUUACAGAUCAUCUCUCUCUCUCUGUGUAAAGUAGACAGACAAAUUUUCAGUCUGAUUUAGUAACCAGGUCCAUAGUUCAGCAAAUUUAUGCAUACAACUGAGUUCAUCAGCAGUUAGGUAGUAUGUAUUAUACUAUAUGUCAGCAAUUUCCUUGCCCCAGUCAUAUAUCUUCUUCAAUUGUAAAUUUAUUAGCAUUGAAACUUGGGUAAUAAUUCAUUUUCUGUAUCUGUCUCUUCAUCUAUCACUGCAACUUUUGUUUUACCAACAACCCAGAAUCACUGCAAUUAACUUAAGGCAUAUACAUACACUCCUGAAUCGAACUAUAAUUGUCGAAACAUGUAAUAAUCACGCAUAAGAGAAAGGAAGAAGAUGGCAUAAAGCUGAGUGAUGCGAUAAUUGAAACGAAUCUUAAAUUCUGGUGUUUGAAUUUUAGGUCCACCAGAAUCAGAAAAAAGCCAGACAAAGGAGGCCUGCAUAGUUGUUCCUUCUGUGCUAGCUUCACCUUCAGUGCUUUCACAUAAUAUUUAAAAGCUGAGCUUAGCUCUAUGCAGACCUAGAGCUGUAAAUGAAAUUAUGAAUAAUAAUUGUUCUUACUGAGCGUACGUUAUAAAAUGAUCGAUCUUUACUGACCUAGUUGUCAGCAACUGUAAGACUCUUAAGCUCUAAACAGAGCGCUGAAUCAUGCAGCAGCUAGCGGCAGCCAUCAAUACACAGUGGAGUGAGAGCAACUGAGAAUUGGGAAGAGAUUUAGUACAAAUCUCGAAGUAAAUAAAUAGUUAUCAGGAAUUCCCAUCGAGAUUAAAUUCCUGACCUGAAUGCCUUCGAGUCAAAAGUAUCAGAUUGAAUCCAGCAGAUCUCAAGCUUAACUUUUCUUUUGUUUAUCCUGAAAAUGAGAGAAGUGGUUCAGACUUCACAAGUGACGACCCAACAGUUUUUACAGAUCGUAAAGCAAGCAAUUUGGUAAUCCCGUGCCUAGCUAGCUUUUCCCAACAGUUCCAAGACUUAGCCAAGAAAAAGAAAACCCUAGUUUUUCUGUAUUAUUAAGAAUUAAUUAAAAAGAAAGUCAAAUGUUAUUUAGAAACUUGUGCCUCUAAUUCAACACCUAUUAUUUUGGCAACUCUUUUCGGUGUAUCUGGUAAUCUGGAUAUGGAAUUUAUGUCAUGCUAGCUAAUAGUAUAUACAGAAAAACAAGUAAGCAGGCCGGGCUAGACAUUCAUGUUCAGUGAGAUUAAUAACAACCUCUUAGGUUUUUCUAAUUGGGUAGAAGCCCUCUCUUGGUCAUCAUCAUGUUUAAACGAAUCCAGUUAUAACCAUGAACUUCUUGGACACCAUAUGAACACUACUCGAUCUGCUACAACUAUAGAAUACGGCAUGGUAUGUAUAUAGGCACGUAUAUAUAAACAAACGCACUCGAUCACAUGAAAUCGCUUUAUACGGUACUUUUCGUUCGAUUAAUAACUUAAAAAAGAGAACUUGGGAUUGUUUCUGUAAACCAUUUCAUCACUGUUUGAGAAAUCCAGAACCUUGUGAUAGCUAAUACAUUCAGAACGCCACUAUUUCAAAUCAUCGAGUCGUGUAGACAACCAUUAUCAUGAUCAAACGAAGUUGAAAAGACAGGCAAAGUGAAAGUGUGCAAUAUAACGAUCGAUAAAUGAAACCUUUCUUGACCAAUAUAGUUACUACAUUAAGGUAUCGUGAUGAUGAUGAUUCGAAUGAUCUUGACAUAUUAAAGCUAAAGGCCACUAAAAGCAGUAGAUAUCACUAACAACAUAAUCAACAAUGAAAACACAAAAGGAAAACCAAGAGGAUCUCAUCACACUAGCUCCCAUCAAAUCUAAAACGGUUUUUUUACAGCAAAUGCUAGAUUAGUGGAAGACAUUAAGACAAUGCAUUACAUAAAAAGUAGUUAAGGUGGAGCAUCAUGAUCAUAUGACCUAUAUGAUAUAAGCAAGUGCAACGUGACCAACGUCUUUAAUUUUAAGUGACAAAAAAGGGUUUUGGCCCUAUUCUUCGGAUGCAUUCAAAUCCCUGUGAGACCACACAUUGUAAAUCCAGCCGAUCAUUUAAGUUCUUGAUAUAUAUGCCAAGCUAUAUAUAUUCUUGGCCUAUCCAGCUUACUUCCUCAGGACCAUGCCAGAUUCAAUUCAUCAUUACACACACAUGGUAAAAUGCUUGGUUUGUCCCUAUUACGCAGAAAGAUACUGGACGUAAACAAGCCUGAAAGGCAUAUGUUCUAAUUCGAAUGAAGAACAUGGAUCAACACCCUUUUUUCGAAUCGAAUUUCCUUACCGUAGUUGUGAAGACAUAACUCUAAAUUCAAGCUAGCACAACAACAUCUCCACCUAACUGUAAAUUCAAUGCUCCUUGUAUAGAUUGUUCUACUAACAAGGAAAGGGCAAUGAUCAAAUCCGUGGUCCAUGCAACAUUCAAUAGGAACCAGAAAUUUUACCAUCUAGUUAGUUCUUCUUAGCCGGCCUGUAGCCCUUGGUACUUGGCUCGACCGGAACCAAAUGAAAUUUAAAACGAAAUGCGUAGAUUUAUCAUGUAGAACAAAACUUGAAAACAGACGAGAUAUACAUACAAAUUCAUGGGUUCGCAAUGAGGAUAGAUCGAUGGUGACACCAAUGGAAUCUGAUGAACUAUCUGAACAAUGUGUCACUUUAUCAACCGACACCAGCGCAUAAGGUAGCUAGAUCACAGAUCGAUGAUUGCAACGGCUUAGCUAGCUAGGCAUGUAUAAAAUGAUGCACUAAUUAACAAAUCCAAGUUAGACUGAUCUUGGUUCAUUAUCCUUUAAUCACUAAUAAUUAAGGGGAAGAUCACAUGUGCAAACUGUAAAGCAGGCCUAAACAGUUCAAAACAAGACCUAAACAACUUUCAGGGGAGAAGAAUCUAAUCUAUCAUGUACAGCAUACUAUAUAAAUAAAAUCAAACAUACAUUGCUAAGUACUGUUCAUCAAUCUUCAAGUACAACUGGAUCAGAGAGCACUACUUAUCCAGAAUGUUAUCUCGGGCCACUGCAUCUACAUGCAUUAUCAUCACAGAGAGAAAAUCAGACACAAUACAUAAAAGUGAAUGCCAUAGACAAUUGACAAUUCUAAUGUUCGACUUUUUGUCAAAAAUUCAAGAUGUAACCAACACGAAUAUCAACAGAAACAAUCAGAUCUGUGUAGCGAGCGCGCCUAAAAUGAAUCUACGAAAUAACAGAUGAAGGAUUAGGGUUUAAAGAUUACCCAAAACAGUCACCAUUCCCAGAAAAUCACCACCUUCAAGAACAUCUAGAAGUUUUCUUCACUAUAAAUCAACAAUUAUAUGAUGAAAAAAUCGUGUUGUGUUACAAAAAAGGUUGAAAGAACUGAACAAAGGAGAGACCAGAGCUGUACCAAAACAUAUAAAUGAACUGAAUCGUCUGAGUUUGUUUUCUUGAACCUGUCUGUAUCUUCCCACAGCUUUAUUGAACCACAUGCCAAAUAUAGAGCAACCUCUGCCUCAAAUGCAAAGAUCAGAUCUCUUAUGCUGGAUGCAGUUCAAGAAAGCUGUGGAAGAAUACAAAGAGGAUCACCAUCUAGAGGAAUAAGAUGCUUUGAAACCUUCCACCAAUCAGAACAAUUUGUAAUCUGAUCAGAAACAGAAAAGGGCACUCAAAAUAUGUCAAAGGGAAGAAGAAGAUCGACCAGACCUUUACCAAACCCAAAACAGAAGAGACGGGUUCAGAGGGGUUUGGCCGUUUGGGGUUAGGUUGGGCGCAGAGGAGAGGGAGAGGCCAGAGGAGGGUGAGAGAUGUAGGUUUUGCAGAGGAAGAAGGGUGGUAUUUAUAGUAGAAAUUAGAUGGUUUCGCAUUUUUUGUGUUUUUUUUUAUUUUUUUAUUUUUUUAUUUUACCCCAUCAAUCCCAAGAAGAAUAUUGGGCCUCUGAGACUCACAGUCACAGAUUACUGUACUGAACAAAACCCCACCUUUUUUCCCCAUUCCAUUCAAACCCUAAUAAAAAAGUGCUGACUACCUUUGAUCACAUUAUACCACCUCAAAAGGUAAAAUCCAAUUUAAUUAAUUUAAUUAUACUAGUAAUUACCAGCUAUGCGAAACCGAUCGUAUUAAAUUAUUAGCGGCUAUGAUGCAACUUGCUUGCCGGAUCAGACGGUGGCGGUUACCCUAGUGGGGGACGACGGUGGGACCCGUCUUAGAUCUGUCUCUUUAUAAUAGGUGAAAGGAGUUGCUUCACGCGCUGUAGGGAAUGUUGGUUUGCAGACGCCUGCUAAUGACGUGCGUAAGAUGACAUCGGAGGACAACUAAUUACACGCUAAAUAGGAGUCUUUUGGUUAAGUCAGGUUUGUUUACUAUAAAAUUGACAUCUACAACUUCAAGGCUACAACCUUAUCACGACGGCUCCAAUGUGGUCCUUUAUGUCCCUCGAAUUAUUCUAGUUUUUUUGAUGAAAUAAAAAAUAAUUACAAACUAAAAACACGAAAAAAAAAGAAGCAUUUUGUCACAAAGGGCACAGAAUGCAACCAACUGCCCGCUUCUACAUAAUGUUCGUAAUUCGCCAAAAAAUCUGCAACAAAAUUUACCUCCAUCCAAACGUGCUUAAAAGUAACAGAUGCGAACUAUUACGCCAUAAUACUAAUGUGAUGAAUCAAAGCAACAACCCUCCAAGGAUCGGAGUACUAGAUUAACUAGUAAUAAUAUCAAUAAGAGUCUUGGAAUCUCUUUCAACUUGGAUGUAAGAAAAUGUUAUGAAGUAAAAUUGCUUGUAACCUAGCUCGGAGUGCAAAAGCUUCUAAAACAAGUACAUCAGUCUUGCCAAAAGAUUUUGAGGAAGCCACAAUCGGGUCUCCGUGAGUAGAACAAAUAACAAAGCCAGCUGAUGCUUGUGAAUUCUGGUGAACAGAUCCAUCAAAGUUUAAUUUGACAAAAUAAAUAUUAUAGUUUAGGUUUGUAUGUUCAAAACAUUAAUUGUCAUAGUAUAAUAAAGAUUUAUUUAAAUAGCAAUACUCAAAAUUAUUAUAAUUUAGGUUUGUUCAAAACAUUCAUCUUUUAUAUGAUAUUAGUAGCUAGCCAUAUAGUACUAAAUAAUUUAUGACACACCAUGAGGGGUUAUGAGGUCGAUCAUUUGACAAAUGAAAUAAAUUUUAAUUAUCGAAUAAUAGUGUACCUUAUAAAUUUCUUGUUGAGGAUAUCAACUAAUUAAGUAUUCAAUUUAUGAGCUUGGAUCAGCAAGCUAUUUAGUGCGACCUAGCUUUCUACAAACUUCUUAUUUAAAAAAAAAAAUCACUUUACUGAUCGAUUUUAAAUAGAUCGUAAAAGCCUAUAUAGCUAGCAAUAAUGUUUCAAUUUGUAUUAUACAAUCCCAAUUUUUAAACACAUCUUAGAACUUUGCCAGCUCUAGCCCAUGUCCAUGUAGGUUGUCAGUCACUGAUUAACUUCACAUCUAGCAGAUCCAAAGCGCGGGAUCAAGCCUCUGCGCGUGAAGCACGCGUUUCCACUGCAGCUGGGGCUGAUCCCUGCGAAACCAAAACCAGAUAAUUAACCAAAUAAUUAAGGGAUUACAGUGCAAAUAAUAUAAAUUAAAAAGAUAAAUUAGGGGUUAAGGAGCGAAGGAUUACGGGGUGCUCACAUGGCGGCAUGUGGGUGGAGGGCCCCACGUGAACCGUGGGAAGUUGUGACAGUACACUCCCGUAUUUUCCGGGACGGAGGUCGCCUUGUCGGGCUGGUUUUGCGGACACGAUUUGCAUAAUCCCCAGGCCCAAAUGAGGCUCUUCCUCAUUGGUCCAAAUAGGCGCGCACGUUUAGCCCUGUGCACACCCACACCUAUACGGCGUCGUUUUGUAUGUGAUUAGUGGGUCUUGCUUAAUCAAAAUCAACCCACAGCUGGCACUCACUUGUGCAUUUUAAUUGAGCCCAAAACUUUAAUCAUCAUUUUUCGCACUAAUAUUUUGUAUGCUUUUAAUUAUCGUUCAUCAUUUGUCCACUAUUUGUCUUUUCGUUUGAUUUGAUUUUUAACCUACCCCAACUACGUACAUGACCUGCCCUUUGAUUCCUUGCACUAGUGGAUCGAUCCGGCCACUUCAGUUUUGUUACAAUGUUGUUUUGUGAUGGAGAGUUUUGUAACAAUGUUAUUCACCACAAUGCAUGGAUCGAUUUUUCUAGCAACUUGGAGUGCGGUUUGGUUUAUCAAGGUGUGGCCGAUGUACAAUUAAAAGUGGUGCUUUCGACAUAACAUACACAAGCAUGUGGAAGAGAAGUUGAUGAAAAUGAAGUGUCAUAGUAGGACAUAAUGAAAAGGAAGUGACAGAUCGAUAAAAGAGUUGUCUCAUCGAUCUAUACUUCAUACGUGCCGAAGAGGUUAUGUAAAAUUUAUAGGUUGUCAUCUCUAAUUAAUGGUUUGUACUUAAACUUGUAUUAUUCAUAUGCAAACAUUGAGUUUUCACUUGUAUAGCGUUCAUUUACCGUAAAUCUUUCCAUUGUUCCGCAUAAUACUAUGACAAAUCAAGCAGUAAGUUGUGAUUCUACUCGGAAAUGGCAAAGUGAAGACGAACAUAUGAAAAGUUAAAAAUCUCAUGAGGUAAAAUAUUGGUGGAGAGAAGGUAAGUUAACUUGGUGUUUCAGAGUGUGGAGCAGAGUGUGAGUCAGGGCUUAGUGUUGUGCGCACGUGUAGUAGGGUUAGGGACAAUUGCAUGGAAAUGCAUGCAUUCGUUUGUCAGUAUAUCACUGACACCAUCUACCAACACGCACGAUGCCCCGCCCUUCCUUAACACGAUUCAACCCCCUUUUGUCCAUUUGAUCCGAUCGAUCGAUUUAACCCACGACUUUGUCUUCUUUUCCAUUCCCCCAAACCCCCAUUUCCUUCCAGCAUCGUUUUCCAUUCUGGCUCUGUCCUCCUCCCCACCUCUUUUUUCCAGGGCCAGCUUUUCUCAUUUCCAUCCAUCUCUUAUAUAUAAUUCCUAACUAAUAAUGCAUGCCUUUAAUUUCCAACUUGAAUCUGUUUCUUUACCUAUAUAUAUAUACGUAGUUGAACAUUAUGAGAGACUUGGUGGAUUUACAGUACCUGAGUAGCUGUGUUCAUAUCAAACUGCUGCAGCUUAAUUGUAAUAUAUAUAAAUAUAUAAUGCAUAACAUGAGCUAGCAAAGUUUCAACUAUAUAUAUGUGCAGUGACGGAUCCAGGAUCUGAAGAUGGGGUGGGCAACGUAUUAAGCCGUUUCCGUGUUUUUCUAUGUUGGGCAAAGACCAAAUUUUUUUUAGGGUAUAACUAUGCAAAAAUGUAGGACUGGAAGAGCUAAUUAAAUAAGUAUCACUGAAACAAACAUAGCAAAUUACAUCAAACUUGUGCUGGUGUGCAAAUAAAUGGUUAGAAAAUGAGAGCCACACACUUCAAAACUUCAGUCCUCGGAAGUUCGGGUGGGCUUAACGAAGUCAAACAUACAUAUUUGCAAGAAAAAAAGAGCUUAUACUUUGGGUUUUUUUUAUUUUUUUUAUUCAUCACAAAUUCUCAGGGGGCUUGAGCCCAACCAAGCACGCACUUGGCUAUGUGGGAUUUAGUUUUGUUUUUUUUUUUUUUUUUUUCUGUUGUUUUUCACUUUUACAGGAGGAUAUGUGUUUGAUUCUGAAUACCCUACUAGAUUCUGCAGAGAGUUGCAGAGGCAAAUAAACCAUAUAUAAGAGUUAGAGCUAUCAUAUAUCAUCUAGCUGUAUAUAUAUGAAUUAUGGGAUAUUGUCCAUAUAUUUAUGUUCAAAUUAAUUGGUAGAUUUAGUUCCUGCUACACACACCCACACGCAGACACAAAUUUAUAUGGUACAAUUAAUGGAAUGGAUCAAACAAAUUAAGGAAAUGAACGGGGGACAUGAUUUAAAAGUUUAAGAAAAGCUCGAGCAAAGGAGAGGGUAUUGUGUAUUGAACCAUACGAAGAUGACAAAGACCUAAAGGUGAAUAUAUAAUCCAUACAAGGUCAAGUGGCCAAGGAUAUUUUUUACCUAUAUAUUAUUAAUUUACUAUUUAUUUAUAUAUUUUGCUAAUGGCCAGAUUAAGUAGGGUUUAGUAGACUUAUAAGUGGAUCACGAACUCUAUCAGAUCGAUCUGGUUGUUGUUCCUCUGGGAGUUAUGCUGGUCCUUUAUCAAACACAAGAGGGAGGUCGCCUAGGUAUCAGGCUACCCCUUAACUAUCUAGAGGUUAAUUAAUUUACCCUACAAAGUAGUUUAACCCCAGUUAACCAUGCAUUGACUUCUAACUUAAUAUAUAGAAGUUGUAUUUCAUUGAUUCAACUAUGUGUACAAGGAUGAGUAUUUAUAAUACAGUAUUACUUGGUAACCAAGCUAAGCUAAGAGGUAGAAAUCUAUACAAAGAUUACAUGUUAGAUUACCACACCAAUAUAGAAGACUAUGACUUAAGGCGUGUAGAGGAAGACUCGCUAACACCCCCCCUCAAACUGGGCGGUCUAGGACGCACAAGUUUGCGACACAAAAGAAGAUGCCGAGGCUUAUGAAGAGGUUUGGUGAGAAGAUCAGCAGGCUGAUCAACAGAGGAGAAAAAACCAACCCGAUGACUGCCAAGAGCAACUUUCUCCCGAACAAAAUGAUAAUCCAACUCAAUGUGUUUAGUGCGGGCAUGAAAAACCGGAUUGGAGGCCAUAUAGGUAGCACUAAGAUUGUCACAAUAAAGCAUAAUGGGAAAGCGAAUGCGGGCACCAAGCUCAUAGAGUAAGAAACCUAACCAAGUAGAUUCAGCACAAGCAUGAGCAAGAGAACGAUACUCAAAUUCAGCACUUGAGCGAGCAAUAGUGGGCUGCUUCUUAGAACACCACGAGAUGAGAUUAGAACCAAGAUAAAUAAGAUACCCAGAAGUGGAGCGCCGCGAAUCAGGACAUCCAGCCCAGUCGGCAUCAGAAUAAGCAGUGAGAAGAACUGGUUGAUGCUGAGGGCGAAAAGUAAGACCAUGAUCAAGUGUACCUUUGACGUACCGAAGAAUACGCUUGGCCGCAACAAGAUGAGGGGUCCGAGGCUGACUCAUAAACUGGGAGAUAGAGUUGACAGCGUAGGAGAUGUCCGGACGAGUGAUAGUGAGAUACUGAAGAGAGCCAACAAGUUCUCUAAAAACCGUGGGGUUGGGAAGCAGAUCACCAUCAGUAGUAGUGAGAGAAACUUUGGCAGACAUAGGAGUGCUCAUAGGUUGACUAAGAAGAAGGUCAUGUUUCUGAAGAAGGUCAUGAGCAUAUUUAAGCUGAUCAAUAUGAAUGCCAGUGGAGUGAGUGGUUACCUGUAACCCAAGAAAAUAAUGAAGAGGACCCAAGUCUUUGAUGUCAAAUCCACGACCAAGAGAAUCAAUAAAGCUCUGAAGAACACGAUCAUCAUUGCCAGUAACAAUAAUAUCAUCAACAUAGAGGAGUAAGAAGAUGAUGCGACUCCCAUGAUGGAACAAAAAGAGAGACGAAUCAGCACGACUGUGACGAAACCCAGCGGACAGAAGAAACGCACUAAUGCGAGAAAACCAUGCACGAGGCGCUUGUUUGAGACCAUACAAAGCCUUAUGAAGUUUACAAACAUAUGAUGGACGAUCAGAGUCAACAAAACCAGGUGGCUGAGUCAUAUAAACAUCUUCGUGAAGGAACCCAUGAAGAAAAGCAUUUUUGACAUCAAGCUGACGCAAAGACCAACCCCGAGAGACAGCAAGAGCAAGAACAGUGCGAAUGGUCGCAGGUUUAAUAACAGGGCUGAAUGUUUCCUCAUAGUCGAUGCCAUGUCGUUGAUGAAAACCUUUGGUAACAAGACGGGUUUUGUGACGUUCAACAGUACCAUCCGAAUGUCGUUUUAUGCAAAAAACCCAUUUACAGCCAACAACAUUUUGAUCAGGUGAAGGAGGAACUAGAGACCAUGUUUGGUUCUUCAAGAGAGCAUUAAUUUCUUCGUUCAUUGCCGCACGCCAUUCAGGCGUUUUGGAGGCUUGAGAAUAACAAGUAGGUUCCAAUUCAUCAAUAGAGGUGAGAAGGGCACGAGAAAUGGGAUACCUGAUUGUGCCAUCAGUCCUAGUUUUCGGCAUAGAGAUACCAUCACGGAGCCGGGUGGUCAUGGGAUGUUGAGAUGCAGGGAGGGCAUGAAUGGGUUCUUCUACUUCUGCAGGUAAUAGAGAAGAGUCCGAGGAGGAAGGAUGCACUGGAGAGCUGGUUGUCGCCGGAUUGGGUGUCAGAGAACAAGGAGGGCCGACUAGAGGCAGAUCAUGAUGGUCGACGGCGGCCGGACCGGGCGGCGGGCCGUUCUGCAUUAGAGUGGGCGGCAGCGGCGAGUUGGGUUCCGGAGGCGCGUUGGGCAACGGAAGACAGAGUGAGCUGCUGGUAGGCAGAGCGACAUCAUUGGUGAUAGGGGUCGGCUGGGGGAGAGGAGAAGAAGAUGGGACUGACUGGGCCGUAGGAGGCAGGUCCGGUUGACUUGGAGAGGAGCUCAGCACGGGCUGGGUCUGUAGUCUUGGGCUUGGAGUAGUAAGAGGGACAAAUUCAAGAGAAUCUCCAGAAUUUUGAUGUACCUGCAAGUUCUUAUACGGAAAACUAGUUUCGUUAAAAAUAACAUGACGAGAGACAUAGACACGACCGGAGGAGGGAUCUAAACAACGAUAUCCUUUGUGUAGAGGACUAUAACCAAUAAAGACACAUUCACGACUACGACUCGACAAUUUGUUAGAACUAUAGGGACCAAGAUAAGGAAAACAAGAACAACCAAAUACACGGAGAGAUGAAUAAGACGGAGAGGAUUGAUAAAGACGAAAGUGUGGUGUAUCCCAAUUGAGAGUGGGUGUAGGGAGAAGAUUAAUUAAAUAAACUGCAGUGAGAGCAGCAUCGGCCCAAAGAUUAUGAGGAACAUGAGAGGUAACAAGAAGAGUACGAACCAUGUUGGCGAUAUGACGAUGCUUACGCUCAGCUAAACCAUUUUGUUGGGGAGUGUAAGGACAAGAAAACCGUUGUUGGAUGCCCAUGGAAGAACAAAAAUGGGAAAAUGCAUGGUUGACAUAUUCGGUGCCAUUGUCACUUUGGAGGUACUUAACCGAUCCGUGGAAGACAUUUUUGAUGAAAGCCACAAGAGUUUGAAAGUGAGUUAAGACCUCAGAUUUUCGAUGCAUAGGAUAAAUCCAUGUAUAACGAGAAUAAUCAUCAGUAAAUAGCACAUAGUAUUUGAAACCACGAACAGAGGAAACCGGAGACAUCCAAACAUCACUAUGAAUUAAAUAAAAUAAGGAUGGAGCAUUGUCACUAUGAGAAGAAAAAGGGAGUUGAUGCGACUUGCUAAGCGCACACUCAUUACAAAAAGAUUUAAGGGUAGACUUAAAACCAAUAGAAGACGCUAGACGAGCUAAAACUGAUGACGAGGGGUGGCCCAAACGAUUAUGCCAGAGGGUUGAUCCCACUGAAACUAGAGCAUGAGGGACUUCGGAGGACACACCAGACAUGGGAAGAGGAUAGAGACCAUCUUUACAUGGGCCCUGAAACAAUAAACGACCUGAGCGUAAGCAAUAAAUUUGAUAGAAAUUAGGAGCAAAGAGAAAGAAGACAUGAUUAUCUUUAGUAAAACGAGCAACAGAAAGGAGGUUUUUACGAAUAGACGGAACACGAAAGACAUUGAGAAGAGAAAAUUGAGAAUCUCCCAAAGAUAACGGAAGGUUACCCGUAUGGGAAACAGGCAUAGAGUCUCCAUUCCCCAUAAAAACAUUAUGUGGUCCACCAUAAUUUUGAGGAUUGUUGACGGGCAUGGAUGUCAUAUGAUGGGUAGGGCCGGUGUCAAGAUACCAGAAUGGAUCGCCGUAGGAAGAAAGGUGUGCCCCUGCAAACAGAGGCAUAGUAGUGGGCCCGGAAAAACGAUGAGGGCAAGUAGCUGGACCAUGUUGAGGGGAAAGACAUGUGGGACACCAUUGUUGGGCUGGGGAUGGUCCUAGAAGGCCUGACUGAGCAUUGGGCCGUGAGAACUGGGAGGCCCAUGGAGAGGCUUGAAAACCCAAAACAGGUUGGUGGGGUGCAUAUGGAGAUGUAUUUGGCGGCUGGGCAUAAACGAACGAGCGCGGCUGGUUUUGUUGCCGACGGUUUCGGCCUUAGUUGCCGUUGAAUCGGCUGGAGCCGCCGUUGCCGGAAAAUGGGCGGCGACCGGAGCCGGAAUUCCGACCAGAAGAAGGGCUCGAGGCGUUGAACAACGCUGAGGCAGAGGGAGACGAGAACGCCUUGGGUUGUUGUGAGUCGAACGCCAAAAUGCGCGCUCGAAGUUCUGUGAAAUCCGGUAAGGGAUGAUUUUGAGUGAGAGCGGUUCGAAGCAUCAGAUAAUCAGGUCCAAGUCCAUGGAGGGUAGCAACAACAAGAUCUUCAUUAGAAACAGGUUUGUUGAUGGCAGUGAGAGCAUCUGCAAUUGAUUUGGCAUGACGAAGGUAUUCAUCAAUUGUUUGAUUGCCCUUUUGCAGGUCAAGAAGUUGCAUCUUUAGACUGGCAGCACUGGCAACGGACUUUUGGGAGAAGUGGCGUGCUAAGCAAUCCCAAAUUUCUUUGGCAGUGUUGAAGUCGAUUGUAAGAGAAGCGAUCAGCUCGGUGAGUGUGGUGGUAAGAAUAUUGACAGUCAAUUGAUCGUCGACGAACCAUUGUUCAUAUGCAGGAUUGGGGAUACGAAUAGGAAGAGGAGGGAUGCCCUGAACCGGAGUAGUGGCGUCGGAAGCUUCAGUAGAGGCGGGAGGUGGUUUGGAUGGGGUGGAGAGAAUGGUGGUGGAAGGAGCAGGGAUGGAGCCAUCAACAUAGCCCCAAAGUUUGUUGCCAUGGAGGUAAGGUUUGAUUUGACGAAGCCAGACAAGGUAGUUUGUUUCGAUGAGUUUGAUAAAGUGAGAGGUGUUGGGUGAAGGGGGGUGGGAAACAGAGGAAGAGGAAGCGGCGGAAGCAGAGGCCAUUGGAAAAGAAGAAAAGCUAGAGGGUAGAACCUGAAACUGCUGAUACCAUAUAGAAGUUGUAUUUCAUUGAUUCAACUAUGUGUACAAGGAUGAGUAUUUAUAAUACAGUAUUACUUGGUAACCAAGCUAAGCUAAGGGGUAGAAAUCUAUACAAAGAUUACAUGUUAGAUUACCACACCAAUAUAGAAGACUAUGACUUAAGGCGUGUAGAGGAAGACUCGCUAACAUAAUAUUUAAGUAGGGAUAACUUUUCUUAAGAAUCAGCUACCCCCCACCCAACUAAUUCAGGAUUAAACUCUAAAGCACCCUGAAUAAUCCUCAAGUAAUUGAGUUUACUAUCAGACUAAUCAGAGAAACUUUCAUUGGGCUGGUCAUGAUCCUAAGUCCUAACCUGUUUGGGUUUGCCUUUGUAAAUAAGUGGACUCUCAGAAAAUAAUUGGGCCCAACACUUCAAUAUCUGUUACGUAGUUGGAUAGAAAAACUGGGUGAAAAAAAAAGGAAAAAAAAAAUCAGUCGAACUGGGCUUUCUGCGGGUUAGGCGGAGAAGAGGUGAGGCUAGGCGGAUCGAGGUUUCGUGCGCCGGGGCGGGUCGGAGAGGUCAACCUUUUUUAAGUGGAAGAAAAAAAAAAAAAACUAAACCCCAUUUUACCCCACAAAGUUUACGUGGCCACACCACGCCAUAUCCUACUUCUCUCCACGCGGCCCUACUGCCUUGGCUACUAAGCAAAAUCGAAUCCAAUCCCAUCUCUCUCUCUCUCUCUCUGCAAAUCGGAAGCGAUGCACGAACCGGAGCUCCAGGACCUCGCCGACGACGCCGAUUAUGCGGCGUCGCAGCAACACGUAAGCCUCUCUAUCUCUUUCUCCGAUCACGCAGACUUGAAUUUCAUCGUUUUCUCAACUGUUUCUUAAGACAAUCGAUUCGAUUCUGAUCGCAAUUGGAAUUGGAAUUGAUUUUUGGUGCUAGGGCUCGGCGAGCAUGAUGCGAAGCGAUAGCGGCAGGCACAGCUCGUCGAGCGAGCACGAAGGCGCCGAGGUGGUUUAUGUGAAGGAUAAUGUGACCAUCCACCCCUCUAUGCUCGCGUCGGAGAGGAUUAGUGGACGAUUAAGGCUAAUUAAGCAGGGCUCUUCACUUUUUAUGGUAUGAAAUUGUUUGAUUAUGAUCAUUUGGUUACGAAACGAUUGAUUUCUUUCGUUUUUAUGAAGAAUUUUGGUGGAUGAUUUUGGUUUUGGUGUGAAUUGUAGACGUGGAUUCCGUACAAGGGGCAAAACACCAAUGCUAGGGUUUCUGAGAAAGGUUCUGGAGCUUUGCACUUGGAUUUUUUUGUCAAUUAUUUAGUUAUUGUUUAGGAAUUGUGUUGAAUUUGAUGUGUGCUUGUGCUGGUGUAGAUAGGAUUCUGUAUACUAUAAGGGGAGUGCCGUUGACAGAGGUUCGGUCCAUUCGGCGCCACACUCCUGCACUUGGAUGGCAGUACAUUAUCAUCGUUUUGGCAACUGGUAAAACAACUUGCACUUAAUUACAGUGUUGGCUACUGUUGGUUGGUGGUCUGAGAAUUAUUUGGAAUUUGUGAAUUUGUACACAUAGAGGGGUUAGCAGGUAGUAGUUGGUAUAUAAUCUCUGACCAUAUUAAGUAGAAGAAACCAACGCAUGCUGUAACCCGAGAUUCCUUAGCCUUGGUUAUCAGUCCUUCAUUGGUCAUUCAUUUCUCAUAUGAUGUACACUGUAAGAACUGUUUGGGCAUACCCUAUACUGGGUAUGCUAAACAUGAAACUAAUAGAGAAAUAUUAAGUGUAUAGGGACCACUGAUUGUUUCUCAUUCCAAUUAGUUUUAGCUUCACUUUAAGUUCAUCAUCAGUUAGUAUUUCUUCUGCUAGGUACUUCUGUUUUGGUAAUUGGUCUAUAUAGGCUGCUAUCUUAAUAUAUAUAUUCCUUUUUUUUCAGGACUUGCUUUUCCCCCUCUGUACUUCUACAAUGGAGGAGUCAAGGAGUUCCUUGCUACAAUAAAGCAGCAUGUGUUCAUUGUGAGGUUGGUUGGUUUCCAUUGAUAUUAUAAUGUAUCAUUCUGUUUCAUUUUUGGUCUGUCUAUCGUAGCUCGUAGGUGUAUUUGGUGCUGUAGAUUUUUUUGAGGAAGUAUUAAUGCUAUAGUGUAGUAGAUCCAUUUAUAGAGCUACAAAUAAAAUUAGCGUAAACUUAUGCCAAAUCGACAAUGGCGCUUGUGAGAUUGAGAGAGAGGUUUUCAUUGUUUCUAUUGGCUGCUGCCCUGAUAUUUACUUGUUUGCACUCAAGUGGUGUUCCAAAUUCUAUUAUCUGUAAUCAUUAAUCGGAUGAAUUUUCCAGGUCAGCUGAGGAUGCUAAUGUAUUUCUUGUGAAUGAUUUUCAAAAUCCUCUGCAGGUAUGCUUCCUACCAGCAAUUUCUUUCGGCAAUUAGCUUACAAAUUUUACUUACAAGGCAAUCAAUUUGUGUUAAUUGAUGCAUAUAACAUCAGCUGGAACGUCUAUUUCUCCUUUUAUCUAGGACAUAUUGGUCUUAUUUAUAUUAGAUUAACAAAGUAAAACAUGGGGAUCUCUAUGUUGCACCAUAUCUUUCUUUGAUGAUAUCUUAUUAACAUUGUGUUGGUUGGCUGGCAUGGUCCGUAGUCCCUUUCUCCUCUAUUUUUAAGCAAGAGUUUUUGUUGAACAUUAACUGUAUGAUGGUCUUAUGGUUUAAUCUCUAUUUUACAAACUUGAUGUCUGAGUGUCUGACCCAAGGCUGGAGACCGCAAUUUUUUCUAAUGACUUAUUGGCUUCUUCAGAAAACUCUAUCAUCUUUGGAGAUACCGAGGGCGCUUUCUGUUGGAAGUGAGCCAUCUACAUCUUCCUUAGUUGGCGAGACGUCUCUAGAUGAAAUGCAGGAGAGAAAAAGUGAGGAUGUCCAAAAUGAUUAUACAAUUUCUCAAUAUAAUGAGAGGCAAAAGCAAAAGAAUCAUGAUCCUGCACGAGAUAUCUCAAUUCAAGUGCUGGAGAAGUUUUCUCUUGUGACAAAAUUUGCUCGAGAAACAACUUCGCAACUCUUCCGUGAUGGCCAUAGUAAUGGAUAUGGAGGUAUACAAAGGAGAAGUAAUAGCCUGUCUUCCAUUGAUUACUCCUCUCAAAAGGCAUCUGAUGAUUCAAACAAAGUCUCUGAUAAAAGUCCAGUCCCCGAGGAUCCACUGGAGGUAAACCUUCCAUCCUAGUAUUGAUUGUAUUGCAUUCUGGUAAGCAUUGUUGUAAUUGUUAUCCUUCUAAUUAAACUCAAGGCAGUUUUCUGUGGUGUUUCAUAAAAUACGUAGUAAAACCAGAGUCUUGGACCCUUUAGACUUGAUUAAGCCAAGGGUUUUAAUUUCUUUCUAAUUUUUACAUCCAUUGAUUUAAUGUUGUUUAUUUUCCUUCUGUUAUUUUAAUUGGCAGUUUGACAAGAAUUCACUGGUAUGGGGAAAACCACGACAGCCUCCUUUGGAGUUUGAUGAGGUAAACCCAACCCGUCUACUUUUUAUGCACUAGAUGGAAACAAGGCAAAGUUAGUAGUUUCAAUUCUUGGAAUGUUAUAUAAGAAAUAAAGACAAAAAUUUAUCAUGACAUUGACAUCCAUAUGUAAUACUAGGUUUAUCAGAAGUUUGAUAUUACGUAGGUACUACUUAAUAUUGAUAGGAAAUUAGUCUCUUGCUGUGAACCCAUUGGCUCAAUCCUUUUACCUCUGACUACUAUUUUAAUAUGUUUAUCUAAUGCACUAUGGUGAACCAGGUUAAAAUAAACAGUUAACAGUAUGGUACUGGUGAUGCUAGAAAUGUGCUAAAAUUGUCAUAUUGCUUUGUGUAACAUGAUUUAUUAUUUUUCAGUGGCGCACCUUCUUGGAUUCUGAAGGGCGGAUCACGGAUUCAGAAGCUUUAAGAAAGAGAAUAUUUUAUGGGGGAGUUGAGCACAAACUACGGAAAGAGGUUUGCAUGUUGUUGUAUUUUGGAAAUUAUAAGUUAAGUACUUUGUAUAAUAUUGCAUCUUCUCAGUAUUGUAUUGUUAAUCAUGAACCUAGGUCUGGCCAUUCUUGCUGGGAUACCAUGCAUAUGAUUCAACAUACGCAGAGAGGGAGUAUCUCAAGGCAAUGAAGAAAGCAGAGUUUGAGACAGUAAAGAAGCAGUGGCAGGUUUGUAAAGAUAUAUUGUAACCUUUAUAGUUCAUCCUUCCCCAAAGUUUUCCUAUUUUUAAAAUGCUUUGCUGAGUUAAGAUAAAUAACCUUCAUUAAUUAUUAUAGUCCACUGUCGAAAGGUUACCUCUUUUCUAUACCAUCCUACCACCAUUAUGUAAAAUAUUGAAUUGACACUUGAAUAUAGGUGUGUGUAUGGAAGAAACAUAUGUCUCUAUCCAGUAGUUAGGUUCGCUGGUGUAAAGGCAUUUAACAAGUGCUGCAAAAUAUUGUAGGCAAGAAUAUUUUAUGGGACAUGUGUAAAUGUUUGUCUAAACUAUGUAAUAUUUUGCAACGGUUCUAUGUGGGAUGAGAUGUUCUUUCUCUCUCCUCUCUCCACGUUCACAACUAUCUUAAGCUUGAUUAGGUGGCAUAACAUAUGCAUUUUUACUCUGCAGAGUAUCUCCCCAGAGCAGGCAAGAAGGUUUACAAAAUUCCGAGAGAGAAAAGGCCUUAUUGACAAAGAUGUGGUAUGAUGAAACCCGCAUACUUAUUCUUAGACUUAACUUCAAAAGAUAACUACAAUGCAAUUUUCAAUUCUAAAACUAUGAACUCUAUUUGUUUUAGGUGAGGACCGACAGAUCUAUCUCCUUCUACGAUGGGGAUGAUAAUCCAAAUGUGAAUCUGUUGCAUGAUAUAUUGUUAACAUACUCGUUUUACAACUUCGAUCUUGGUUACUGUCAGGUGAUGACUUCUUCUAAUGACUUACUGCAGUUGGCUGCAUAAAAUUACUUUGUAUUGAAGCAAUGAUUUUGUUUGGCAGGGUAUGAGUGAUCUUCUGUCCCCAAUAUUGUUUGUAAUGGGGGAUGAGUCGGAAUCAUUUUGGUGUUUUGUUAAACUGAUGGAGCGCCUUGGGCCCAAUUUUAACCGUGACCAAAAUGGCAUGCACUCUCAACUUUUUGCCAUAACUAAGGUCUCUCUCUCUCUCUUGCUCUCUCUCUCUCUACACACACACACACACACAUAUGGGCAUGUAUAUCCUUUCCGAUGCCAAUGAAAUAAUGAUUUUUGUUGUUGUUUUUGUGGCAGCGUUUUUUCUUUUUUUCAUUUACCCUCACCUUAGAUUGGGAUGCCACAGUGUUGUUGGGUUCUUAAAUGCUUGAAUGAAGUUUUUGGUUACAAUUUGCUUUGCCGGGCAGCCAUUAUUGUAUGAAUUUAAUCCUAUAUCUUUGCUUUUGCAGUUGGUGGAGAUGUUAGAUAGCCCCUUGCAUAAUUACUUUACACAGCGUGACUGCUUGAAUUACUUCUUUUGUUUCCGCUGGGUUCUGAUACAGUUUAAAAGGUCAGUUCUCUUAUCUGCUAGUGAAUUAUUUUUAGUUGUGCUCCAUUCAUUCAUGUAAGUGGGUUGUGUGUGGUGUGUGUUGUUUUGGCGCUCAUGGUGUCAUAUUUUGAGGAUAUUUCCAAACCACAACCUACCUUGUGCCCAUACAUCCAUUGGCCACAUCGCAGAGCCUUCUGGCUUCUGGCCUCUGGUUCAAUAUGUUCAGUGCUAGAUGUUAAAUAGUUUUACGUGCAAUGUGGUUAAUGUUUUACAGCUGUUGUUAAUGCUUGUAAAAGCCUGUUGAUUCAUGCACGUGUAACCUGUAUAACAGGUCAUAAUUUAAGGUUCCAAUAAUGAAUAAUACGUUUGUUCUGCUCUUUGACAAAUAUGUAGGAUAUCACAUGUUACAUUUUUAAUACUACUGUAUUAUACUUUUCCUCUAUUUUUCCUAAUAGAGUUUGAUCACAUAUCUCUAGGGAAUUUGAAUUCAACAAGACACUGAGAUUAUGGGAGGUACUGUGGACACAUUAUCCAUCUGAGCACCUCCACCUAUAUGUGUGCGUUGCGAUACUCAAGCGAUACCGUAGUAAGAUAAUUGGGGAGCAGAUGGACUUCGACACUCUACUGAAGUUCAUCAAUGAGCUGAGUGGUCAGAUAAAUCUUGAUGCCGUUGUGAGAGAUGCAGAAGCUCUGUGCAUAUGUGCUGGUGAGAAUGGUGAUGCUUGCAUUCCACCUGGAACUCCGCCCUCACUACCUGUUGAUGAUGGUUUGUUGUACCCUCAACAAGAACUAGAUGAGGUAUUGUAAAUGACUUUCACUCAACCGAGGAUCUCUAUAAACUCCAUAGGAACACUUAUUAUGGCAUCACUAGAUAAUUGGUGCAUUGUUGAGACAAUUAGCUUGUGUAUCAGCGUCUGCGGAUUUUGAAACAUACAAUAUGUUCACUUCAUGAUACAAUCAUCUAUUGGUGUCUAUAUAUUUUUUUUUAUUUGCAUAUUUCUAAAUUACUGCCAAAUGAGCUCAUGUUGCAAGUUCACUAAGUUUUGCUUAGAGAAGGUUGGAAAAGAGGAUACGAUCAAUAAUCAUUUUAUUAGUAAUUAACUGCAGAGGAAACAUAGGGCACUGGAUAAUAGUGGAUGCAACUGCUUAAUUAUCUAUGAUGAUCAUGAGAAGUUGAUUCAAUCUUUCAUCAUCAUCACUUAUGAAAUAGCUGGUAGUGUGGGGAAUGAGGAUCAUCAGCAGAUGAAAAUGGCAUCGUAGCUGAUGAUUGCAUUCCCUCAGUAGCAGCAGCAGCAGCGGUAGUGCAUCCAAAUGCUGCUUCGAGCAAGAGAAAAGAAUCCAUGUGGGCAAAGAAAGGCUCAUCAUCGAAUGCAAAUGUUGACGAUGAUGUUGCGAUGUUGCCUGUAAUUGUAGGCAGGCAGCACUGAAUCCAGCUGCUGCUUGGCGAAUAUUGAUGGUCUAUAUCUGCGUAGUCGAAAUUCAAGCUCUGAUCUGUGUUACUAGUGUAGUCACCCAUCCAGUAUGGGUAACUUGUUGCCGUCAUAGUACUCGUGAUAGUACUGGUACUUGGAUCGUCCUCUUUGCUGUUAAUUCCAUCUUUCAGUUCCUCCUCACGAGUCAUGCUUUCGGUCUUAGUUGAUUCAGUACCGCCGAUGGUUUUCCUCGUUUUGUUACUACACCGGCAGUUGUCUUGAUGUUUAUGAGUAUUGUCCGAGUAGUUAUCAUGAUUAUUGGUUUUUCUUUUGCGGCCGCUCAGACCUCCAGAUUCCGGUGCCGGGCAGCAGCCGGUGUUGUUCUUGUUCAAAUGGGUAUUCCAGUAGUUCUUCACUUCAUUGUCUGUUCGACCGGGAAGCCGACCAGCAAUCAGUGACCAGCUACACAUGGUUGGUUACAAACAAAUCAAACCAAUGGUAAACUUGUAAUGAGAUUUCAUCAACAACAAAACCUCACAAUACUGUCAUUUCUGCAUAUUUUCGGGUUGCAGUUAUGAAGCAAACGAAGUGUUGGGAGAGGAUUACCGGUUGCCAAGGAGCUUAUGCAUUCGGAUAAUGAGGUCUUCCUCCUCCUCGGACAUAUCUCCACGUUUGAUGUUGGGUCUCAAGUAGUUCUUCCACCUUAGCCUACAGCUCUUUCCGCUUCGAUUCAAACCUGAUCGCCGUAGUCUGUCACUGGUGAAGAACUAGAACAUGAAAAAUGAGUACAGUAAGUAGCUUAGCUCAACUAACCUGAUCGCUUGGAAACAGUUGCCCAGUUUCCUUCACCAUGAGUCUCCACGUACUUCUUGAGAAUCAAAUCCUCCUCUGGCUUCCACAGGUUCUUCUUAUUCCAACUACUGUGUUGCUCUUGCUGCAAAGCUUUCACUCUUUUGUUUUCCAUAACACUCUUACGUAUACACUACUAAGUAGCUCUCUCUUUCUAAAGUAAGUAAUUAAUGGAGGUGAAUGUGAGGGGGUUGGACUAUAUAUACAGAGAUAUAUACGUAAAGAACACCGACUGGUCAGAGGGCUAGGAACUCGUGCAUGGUUUUAUUCAUGUAUAGGACUACAUUGAGCAUUUGAUGUGUGACUUAUGGGGCCUGGACUGGUAAAUGAGAGGGUCCUAUGAUAUUCUUACUUUCUUAGUUCCCCACUCUCCCUACUUUAGCUUUUCUUGACACCCCCCAUUUGUUCACUCAGCUCUUCUGGAAAAGCUACCAAUUCAGGUGUAUCUUCUCCAUCUUUGAGCAAGUACGUACUUCCAAUUCAAUCUUACUAGCUAUAGCUACUCAGAUUUCACAGAAAGUGAAAUACUUGAUAAAAAAGAACAGUAACUAUGCCAGGUGAUUCAGUUGAGUGCGUUCAUCUAUUAUUUUCGUUGCAGUUUUACUUGGACUACAGUUCCGAGGAUAACGAGCAAUAUUGCAUGCGAAGAUUAUCAGAUGGAGAUGGUUGAUUCCUUUUGGAGACGCACGGGUGCCCCCCCCACACUUUUCAAGCUUUAUAUCACCCAAUCUCACUAUGGUUUUUCCCUUUUACUGUGAGUGUGUGAACCAAUGAACUCUAUUUCACUCAGUGGAUCUGUAAUCUAUAUGAAUAAGUGAUUUUUAGGUUCUCAAACUUUCAGAAUAUAUAAGACGGAUAAACACAGUGAAUUUAGAGUUUAACUCAACGUGACUUUAGCGUUUAAAUUUCUACCCAGAACUUGAGAGAGUGCUAAACCCUAAAUUCACAUUAUAUCAGUUGAUAUAGAAAGCUUGGUAAAAAAUUAAAACUAGUUGAACACAUAGCACUUGAUUUUAGAGAGAAAGAUCACCGUCUACACCUUUGGCGUGAAAAAUGUGGUGUUUCCUAUGUAUUAGUUUCCAUGGCUUAUACAUGCACGGUCGACAUCGAUCUAUCAUGCAUAUAGAUGUUUCUGUCAUACAAUGGAGUGAUGCAGAAUAACAUGAUGUUUCUGUCACUUAGUCUCGAUCAGCUCAGAGAACCACAUGCACUCAAUUAGUUUGUUCUUCCAAAUGUAUCUUAAAUUAUUUGCUUAUAAUCAUAGCUCCCUUUUCAGUUCCUUGCAUUGCAUUCAGCAAAUUGUUGGAUCAGUGUCUCCUUCGAGUAACAAAACAAUCAUGGCUCAAAUCCAAGCUUGGUUUCACCCUUCACAUGCAUGUCCCUUCUUCUUCUUCUUCUUUUUUGCUUGGUUUCACCCUUCACAUGCAUGUCCCUUCUUCUUUUUCUUUUCUUUUUUUCUUUUUUUUGAAAAGGAUUUUGGACCAUGUUCGUCCUUUCUUAAUCAUGUGAUGCUUUGCCCAGAACGAUGCAUAGCCGUUCACUAGGCAUAUAUGAAGAGCGUUCAUCAAGUUCCAUUGAUUCAAUCUUUACACCUUGAAUCCCAUUGCCUUUUGAAACACAUCGAUCAGCUGCUUCAAACUCAGUUUCCGACGACCGAAAAUGAAAAACUUAUACAUAAUUAGCAAACGAUGAUCGAGACCGAAUAGCUCGCGCGUAUUUGUUCAUACAUAACAUGCAUUGUUAGAACUUUCGCAUUUUGGUUCUAAUAUAGGAGUAAUGCAUUAUGCAUAUUACUCUCUCUUCUAUGGCAAAAUUUUUGCUUUAAUUCUCGGUCAUUAUCAGCACGUAAAGUUGUACUAAUGAACAAGUUCAUCCGACGAGGGAUAGAAAAUGACAAGCUUGUGUGCGGGCAUAGUGGCAUACAAUCCAUUUUUAGGAUUAAUAGUGCUUCAAAUUUCAUGGUGGAUUACCUUUAUGGAGGGCCAUGAAAGCUAGCUGCAAUUAAAAUCGAUCGGUAUUGUCAAUUUCCGAUGUUUCUUUCUUUCUCUCAAAAGAAUGGAAUGCUUUAGGAAUCAACUAGUAAAUUAUUCGUUUGAUGUGAUUCUCAGAUGAUCUUGUAUGAGAUAAAUGCACUUUUAGAUGUACAAAUAAAGUUGGAUGAUUACAGGCCUGAUGAGCAUUUCUACAGAAUUUAAUUUUAUAUAUGAAGAAAUCUUUUUAUUUCCAAAUUCAAAUUCAGAAAAGAAACUAUCUACUAGGUUUUAAUUUUGAACCCAAAAAUAGUCCGGCAUUGGCGAUUCCGAUAGAUCAUAUUACUGUCAAUACAUAUACAAACAAAUUGCUGUAUGUUUUUUCUUUUAAAUUUGUGUAACAGAAGUUCUUCGUGUGAAUUAUUUCUUUUGCAAAUGGACGAAUUUCAAAAUCUGCACUAUAUGCUGCAGAUAGAGAGAGAGAGUCACACUUUUAAGCUGGCAUAUAUGUUGGGGUUUCAGAAUGCAGAUUGCGAUUCCUUCAUCACCAUCGACCCCAUUAUUUGCACAAUCAUAUAGCACCUUUCUUCUCCUUUAUCGUGAAUCACAUAAGUUAAUAAUGUACAAUAUCCUACAGUGUACCUUGCUGCAAAGCAAAAGCAAAGCCUUCAAUAUUAUUCUAGCAAUAAUGUAUUGAUCAAAACCCCACCCUCCUGAAUCCUGCUUGCCUCUGCAAAAUGAGCUUGUUUUUGGCCAGUUUAUCAUCCCCCAUAGUUCCCGGUUACAUCAAACCAUUGCACGACGUACAAUUCAAAAUCAAACUUUUUGGUUCAAUGAUACAAAUGGAGUAUCUUCCUAGGAUUCUCUCUUUUCAGUAUAAUUAUCAACAAGUUAAAAAAGUAAAAACUUAUUAAUUUCAAUCAAAUUUGUGUAUAUUGAUAUUGUUAGAAAUCACGGUUUAUUAAAGAAAAAGUGUAGAGAAUGUACGUGCGACGAAAGCUUAAUUAGAGGCUACAUUGUGUUUGUAUUGAUCAAGAAAAAGAGCGAAUUUAACCACCGGCGGAGGUACAUAGAGACCAAGGGGUGCUAUGGCACCCCCUAGAUUUAUGAUUUUAUAUGCAUUUGGUGUUUGGAGUCUAGCUAGUUUAUAAGUUUUAGCUAUGUUGGCACACACCCCCCCCCCCCUCCCCCCCCCCCCCCCCCUCCCCAGUCCUCUAGAUUGGUUUGGUUUACUAAUAAAAAUAAUACAAAUUUUCUCUUUCUAGGAAAAUUAGUUGUUUAGUCCAAUAAAGAAUAAUAAAAGGUUUAUAUUAACUCAUUCCUAAUACAAUUAUCCUUCUACCUCACCCCAUCAAUUAACAUUGUCUUCUAUAAAUAAUCAAACUCAUAGCAGCAUAUUCGUACAAAUAUGUUCAAAAUCAGUUGAGAGACUACAAAUACAUCUUCCUGAUAUGGAACAAAUAAGAUUCGAUGCAACUGAAACAAUAGAGUUUGAUUAUUGAUUAUUGAUUAUUGAUGACUCGAUUAUACAAAUAUGCUGCUAUGAAAUUGAUUAUUGAUGACUCGAUUAUUGAUGACUUUCGCAAUAUGCAGGAGACGAGUCCAUUUUUAAUGUAUAACCCUAUUUAAAACUUUAUUAUAUUAUAGAUUAUGUUUUUUUUUCUUUCAAUAACCUCUUUUAUAUCGGCCCCCUCACUUGUAUUUCCUGGUUCCGUCUCUGAAUUCAACCAUAGGUAAUAAUGUAUGAAUUGAGAAGCUCUAGCUCAAUUAUAUGGAGGAUAACAUGCACUUGCAAGUGAUUCACACUCACUGCUAACAGUAAACAGUGUGAUAGUAUGAUACACAACUAGAGCUGAUACCUGCGCCUUGGCGCGGUGUACAUUUAUGAAGUUGGUUAAUGAUUCAGUUGAUUGAUAGAAAUGUUUUUUAUAUGUACUUCAUAGAACUUCAAUACAUUGUAUAUCACAUAUACAUAUGAUUCUAAUAAUAGAGCUAUUACAAAAGCAACAAUACUACAUAACAAAACAUCUAGUGUUGUGUCCUACCUAAAAUAGUAAAUGUCUUAUAAGUGCACAAAGCAGAACAACUUGUCUAGAGCAAUAUGAUCGAAAAUAUAGCUCCAUUUUUUACUGUACAAAAUGCUCAUAUUUGUUUAACUGUUUUUCACUAAAAACGCAGUCUUAGCUUACUAAGAGUUAGAUAAAACACUGCAGUGAUUGACAUUUAGUUGUUGUUCAGCUCCUUGCUUGAUGAUAAUUUUUCCUUGCUUGGGUUCACAAUAUGUAAAGAUAAUAAAGAUCAAUCAAGGAUUAAAGAAUAAAUCUACAGUUGGAAAGAAAUCAGACAUGUAUGAUCAUUCAAGAAUUGACUAUAAAACUUAGAAUCUUUUGUCAAGUGGUCAAUAAAUAAAUUAGGUGAAAUUUAAGUAAAACUUAAGUAUUUAAUUAAAGAAAAUUAAAAGUAAUAGAAAAGGAAAAAAAAGAAAAAAAAAAGAAAAAGAACUAAACUACUCACAUAUAGCAAACUGAAGAUCUAUUUCAUACUACAGAAGGAAAAGGAAAAAAAAAAAAAACAAACACACACACACACACAAAGCAAGUGAUUAAGCAACUGAAAAGAAUAUCUAUCUCAAACUCCUAAAGAGAUUUAUCUCAAAAUGUCAAAGAUGAGAACUUAACAUAAAAACUAAAACCAAAGAUGAGGAACCAAGUAAAUUAAAAGUAAACAAAACAAAAACCAAAUAUAUUGCAUUAGUAUAUAUAACACAGUACUUCAUCACACGAUAUUUAAAUUAACUUAGUACGUUUUGUUAAUUAGGAGUUGGUUUGCAACCAGAUAAUUUCUUUGGCCAAAUCAAAGAUGUAUAUACUUCAAUUAAUAUUCCGUUGCUAAAAUGGAACCAAAAUUGUUUCACCUCAAUAAUUAAGAAAAUAGACUUGCUCAACCUUGGUCUAUGAUAACACUACCAUAUUUUAGAUUACUUCGAUAACAAUACCUUUUGUGAGAUAUAUGAAAAAAAUAAAUAAAUAAAUUUGAGACACGGUAAUAAAGAUAGGAGUUCAAAAGUUAUUUCCCAACCCAGAACAACAACAACAACAACAAAAACAAAUUAUAUAGAAGACAAUUAUAUAUAUAGGGUUAAUGGUAAUUUUGUGUUUUUUUAGAAAUAGAGGGCAUAAAUGGAAUCACACCCACCAAAAAUAAAGGCAAAAUCGUCCGUGCAUUAUUCAUGGGAUGUGAACAGUGUUUAUAAACAGUAAACCAUUAUUUAGUAUAUAGGUAAACUAGAGUUGAUACCCGCGCCUUGGCGCGGUGUAUAUUUAUAAAGCUGGUUAAUGAUUCAGUUGAUUGAUGGAAAAGUUUUUGAUAUGUACUUCAUAGAACUUCAAUACAUUGUAUAUUACAUAUACAUAUGAUUCUAAUAAUGAAGCUAUUACAAAAGCAACAACACUACAUAACAAAACAUCUAGUGUUGUGUCCUACCCAAAAUAGUAAAUGUCUUGUAAGUGCACAAAGCAGAACAACUUAUCUGGGANCAGUAUGAUCGAAAAUAUAGCUCCAGUUUUGACUGUACAAAAUGNNNNNNNNNNNNNNNNNNNNNNNNNNNNNNNNNNNNNNNNNNNNNNNNNNNNNNNNNNNNNNNNNNNNNNNNNNNNNNNNNNNNNNNNNNNNNNNNNNNNNNNNNNNNNNNNNNNNNNNNNNNNNNNNNNNNNNNNNNNNNNNNNNNNNNNNNNNNNNNNNNNNNNNNNNNNNNNNNNNNNNNNNNNNNNNNNNNNNNNNNNNNNNNNNNNNNNNNNNNNNNNNNNNNNNNNNNNNNNNUAGAUUGACUUCGAUAACAAUACCCUUUGUGAGAUCUAUGAAAGAAAAAAAAAUUGAGACACGGUACCCUAUUUUAGAUUGACUUCGAUAACAAUACCCUUUGUGAGAUCUACGAAGAAAAAAAAAUUGAGACACGGUAAUGAAGAUAAGAGUUCAAAAAUUACUUCCUAACCCACAACAUCCUCAACAACAACUAAUUAUAUAGAAGACAAUCAUAUAUCUAGGGUUAAUGGUAAUUUCGUGGUUUUUUAGAAAUAGAGGACAUAAACGGAAUCACACCCACCAAAAGUAAGGGUAAAGUCGUCCGUGCACUAUUCAUGUGAUGUGAACAGUGAAUAUAAACAGUAAACCAUACUUUAGUAUAUAGUUAAUUUGGACUGAAAAGUGAAAAGGUCGGAAACAUAAUAAUUGAAUAGGUAUGUAUGGGCCAAUUGGGCAUAUAUAUAUGUAGAGAUGAAACAUGAAAUCAAUAGAUGUUUUGGCCCAAAAAUGGCAUUUGAUUCAUAGACCCAACAUGUGAUAUUCAUACACUGGCAUUUGCCACCUACAGAUAUUCAAUCUAUGCCGGCAAUAUAUUAAUUACACAACAACAAAUCCAGCUUUGUUGGUAUGAUCACCUUGAAUGGAAUUCAAGUCACACUGCCAGAUACCAUUUGCAUUUAGUUUCUGGUCUAUUUCCCACCAACAAACAAUGACAAGCACAGAAAAGAGUGGAAAGGAUGUCAUUUUCUUCGUUGCUUAUAGGAAUUAAAGUGAGGAAAUCAUGCAGUGCAGGACUGCAGGGUUUGGAUUUUGAAGCUGAGAAGAAACAGUCAUAUAAUUUCAUAUCGAUCUAAAACCGACAGCAAAGGACUCAAAGUCUUACCAAAAGAAGCCACCAGAAUCAUAUGUAGCCAGGAAGAAAUUAUAACAAGGUAUCUAAUUUUCUUUCUGAAUUAUGCUGUGGCCUGCAGAGUGCAGCAGAAGUAAAUGUCUUGUUGAAGUUGGACCUAGUUGCCUUACCAAAACUAAACCAGACAUCAGACAUGAUAAUUAAACUAGGUUGACAAGUUCGAAUUAUACUUGUUUUUUCUUGACAUAUGAUGCCUUUUCUUGACCUUCUGCAGCAUUUGUUCGCCUUCCAAGCAAAAGAUCGACCAAAACUUGUUUAAUUUUCUUAAUAAUUUGACCAAAUCCACCAAAAACACUACAAAAUCUUUACACUUAAAACAUUACGAGUAAAAUUGUACUGAUUACGAGAGUGCGUGUUCAAGAUGAUAGAAAACUAGUCGUCUGAAUAGUAGCCUUGAACUUGACACAUUUUAUCUUUCCAUGAAUCUAAACUUGACACAUUUUAUCUUUCGAUGAAUCUAAGCACCACUCGUUACAUCAUAUUCAAGUCUAAAAGAUUAAAUAAAGAACUAGAUCUUGUGGAGGAUUUACGGCCAAAAGCAAAGGGUGAAAACAAAAAAUCUGAAUGGAGAUGAAUCUUUUCAAUCCUUGAUUGCUUGUUGUCGACUUCAAAGUCGUGAUCAUAAGACAAAGCAAAAUCUGACUUUAUAUAGAACAAAAUAUAUAGGUUGUCCGUUUGUCCCCCCUUAGCUUCUCCUCACUCUACUCAAUAGUAUUUUCAACAAGCUUCUUAGAUAAUAUUCGAAAUUGAUACUAUUCGAAAUUGAUUUGAAUUAGAUAAUCGAUCACUUUCAUUCUUAAUCUGUUGGCCAAAUUCCCAUUUGACGCCUGAUUAUUAUGCUUAGGGUUAGAGAAUGUCUCCUUUACUAAACACUACUUUUUUAAUUAAACUGAUCAUUAAACUGUUAUUGCAAGUCCAGUAACAUUAUAAUUGUCAUGUACAAGAUAACUAUUUCACGAAAAGCAAUAAUGUCCUAGUGGUUAUGGCGACCGUCAAGUUUUAAUAAAUGACGCUCUAACAAUCUACAAUUAACCGGGUUCGUUUAUUUUAGAUAUAAACUUAUACUUUACGUUUUUGAUAAUUUGUUCAUGUUUUAUCUUCGUUUUAACUUUAGAUAAUUGAUUUUAUUUAAAACUCAUCAGGUUAGUUUGUCAUAGCUUAAUUUUCACAUGAGUUCCUUUCUUUACUAUCGACGUUUCAAUGUAUGUGGUGGUGAUCGUGAUGUUGCCAAAUCACACAUAUACAUCACUUCACACUCAUGUAUGUUCGAUCAUCAGUUCAUACCCGUGAAAUGUCUGUCCACUGUCCAGGUACAAUGAGAUAAGAAAGGAUUGGAUAUAUAUCGGACAUGAUCGAUCUCACUUGACACUCGCAAAGAAUAAGGGGCUACGUACUCCCUUUCACUCUCUUACCCCAUUCAUCGUGUAACGUUUAACCCUAGCGAUCGAUAUCAAAAUCAAAUCAGUAGUGGACUAGUGGUCACACACCCACACGUACACUCCUCGUGAGCUGGACCAUCGGACACAUGGUCGAUCUCUACCAAAGCUCCUCUGAACACUAAAACCAAUAGUUAGUUCCAUGCAUGCAUACAGACAACUCUAUCCGAUCGAUAUCGGACUAGUUUAAUCUGCAGGCAGGGCUGGCCAGUCCGGUCAAGUUUCUUAGGGUUCCAUUGUUGGAAUAUGGGUGGCAUCUUCUUAGUCUCGUCGCCUCGUGCGGCAUUUCUUGGUCCUGCUUUGCCGGCGAGUCACGUGACUGACCCUAGUUUUGCUUCUCUGCUUCUUCAAUCAUGGAGGCUGAGAGGGCCGAGAGUACGACUAGACUGAAAUGAAGCGAUUCUUUUAUGGUGGUUUGUUGGGGUUUUUGUAAGCCAAAUGUGUAGAUAUUCUAAAACGACCAUACACAAUUCCAUAUUAAUUGUAUUUCGAUUCAUCGAUCUUCUUUCUGCUUCUUGGUACGUAUUCAUCCCCCAAACCAAAACGAAAGCACAUAGGGAACAUAUAUGUGUACGUUUUGUCAAUUUUGUACCCCAAUUGGCCGCUUGGUACUGUUAAUUUAGGUCCUCUUUAGGAUGAACAUUCAUCACGAACACGAACAUAUUUGUUGUUCGUUGCAUGCACCCAUUUGUGAAUUAUUCUAUGAUGAUGUUAAAUGACAAAGAGGAAGCCACGUAUGGUAUUAUUUAUCUUCUAUGUUUUGGCAAUGUAACAUAUAUUAAUGUUGAAGCCUCCCAAAGAUACGGUCUCUUGUAAGCAGUUGAUUACGUAAGAAGCUAUCUGCAUAUAUCAAAUAGUUUAAAUCAAACAUCAGUUCGUGUCUAAUCAUAGACAUUAGUAUUAGUAGAGAUAAUGUUUGGUGUCGGGACAAACCAUAAUAAAUUCAAAUUAAUAGUUUGGUACAUAAAAUUAUACAUUGACUAGACGAGUAACUAGUUCUCAAGAGCAAAUGUAAGCAUGCGGUUAAGCCAGCAAAAAUAUAUGAUCGAUGAAACAUAAUCUUAAUUAAGUAGAGCAAAUGUCUCCAUCCGUCUCAAAUAGAGAAUAGAGAAGUUACAUUAACGUGUUGUACAACUUACAAAACUUUAAAUUUUAAGUUUUAAUUUGUAUAAUGUGAUUAUCGUAUAAAGAGUCGAGACACGUCAUUUUAAAAUCAUCAUCAGUUUGUCUAAUUAUCCAGACAUAAUUAGUUUAAAAGUGUAAUUUCUAAACUUAUUUAUAUGCAAAAUGAGGUAAAUGACGUGUGUUCAUGACGAAUAUAAACAAUAAAAUCGUCACUAGCUAGAUCAUGUUUUUGUUUUUGGUGUUUGAUGGAGUUUAGAAUCUUGACUCGUUGUUGGUAAUAUGUAAACCCCGUGUCAACUGUAAAAAAAACAGAUAUUGUCGACUGUAAGAAAAACAGAUAAUAAUAACUUAAAACAUAAAAGAGUUGGUGUUUCGGAUAUAAAUAAUAAUUUUCUCAGAUUAAAAGGUGCUGUUGCUCGUGAAGACGUGAUCAGUUACGUGAAUAGCUGCUGGAAUUGCUGUAUAUAGUAAAUAGCUUUGUUGUUGGGUUGGUUCAAACAAUGAAGUUAACAACGGGGCAACCGGGUCGGCCAAAAGUACAACAAUGACACGGACACCUUGGUCCAAUGUCCCCAGAGCCACCUAGCUCCUUCCUCUUCUCUCCCUCUUCUGUUUCCGUGUCCCUCUGUCCCAUGUCCCCAGCCACCUCCUCCCUCACCGCCUUGAGCUCUGUCUUUAUAUUAAAAACCUAGUCUCACUAUUUAGCAACAAACCCAGAUCCCUUAAAACCCAAACUCUCUCUCUCUCUGAAAGCCUCCAAGUCUCACUCUAGCUUCCAUAUUUUAUUGAGCAAUCUUUGUUUUGUUCUUGUUGGAGUUUUACUAGCUGCUCGAUCUCUACUAUGGAGCUUCAGCUGGGUCUCGCUCUUCCAGCCAAUAACGAUUUUCCAGUCAAAGGUGGCCUCGACUUGAACAUCAACGACUUUCUCUACCACCCUACUGACGGCAGCAACAAGAACAAGAAGCGUAGUUUCACCCAAGCUUUUGAUCCCAGCAUUGCCUCAGCAGCCGUGCCUCGAAAGCUGCCUUGGUUGCUUUGGAACAACCAACCAAACGACGACGACGACGACGACACCGGACACAGUUCUCGUUACACCAACAUGAUCAAGUACGAAAUAUUACUAGACACAGUUCUCGGUUUUUACUUUCUUAUCUCGACGACUCUCUUGCAUUAAUUCACAUGAAUAAACGACUAAUGUUGUUUGGUUUUAUUACCGACAGAAAUGAGGAAGAUGGAUUGGUCGGUUGGCCGCCUAUUACGUCGUGGAGGAAGGAGACUUGUUUUCACAUCCAAGGCGACGGCGGUGGUCGUCGUCCUCGGACGGUGAGGGUCAAUGGCGGCGGCUCAACAUUUGUGAAGGUGAAGAUGGAGGGAGUAGGGAUAGCAAGAAAGAUUGACUUGAGCCAACACCAGGGUUUCCACACACUCCUAAGAACCCUGAUGCAUAUGUUUGACAAAUGUGAGAUGGAUUCAGACAAUUAUAAACUCACUUAUCAAGACAGGGAAGGAGAUUGGCUUCUUGCUCAUGAUCAAGAUGUGCCUUGGAGGUAUUAAUAAAACACCCUCUGAUUUUUAUUAUGAACUAUAAUACGAUCUUAUUGAUUGAUUAGUACUCAUCUUUGCCAUUUUGGGUAUGCAGAACAUUCGUGCGGUCAGUGCAACGACUCAACCUGCUUAAGAGGGGAGACUAAUUAAUGAAGGAUUAGAGCACUAUUUUGGGGGUCUAGCAUUAACUAUCUAGAUAGUACAUGGAUAUGAGGGACUGAUGUAAAAUAUAGUUCAUGUAGAGCAUUAUCCUAGCUAAUUAAUCAUCGGUUGUAUGAUAUGUGGAUCAACUUUAGUCCACAACAUAGGAACAUGUUUAUAUAUUUAUCUAAAUUUGUAUGCAACUUAGAUUCCUUUGCCUUGUCAUAGUAAAAUGCGCCAAAGUUACUAAAGUAACAAAACCUUAAUACAAGAAAGCUCUUUCCUUGAAGAAAGAGGAAACUUUCAUUCAAUUAAUUGGAAAAAUGGCAUCUAUUUAUUCUAAUUAUCAAAUUAGGAGUUACAAAUCUAAUUUUUUUUAGUUGGGCUUUCAGUAACCUAACUACUUAUUGUGCUAACUGGGGCCUGAUGCCUUGUGGGCCUAAGCAUCUAUAUCAUUUUCAAUUGCCAAAUAUGGUCGCAAACCCAAAGCACAGCAUAUGGCAUCAUCAGUGUUAUAAAAUAGGAAGCUGUUUAGGUACUAUAAUUUUUUUUAUUAUACCUUUUUUUUGUAUGAGAGAAAAGUUAAUAAAAGAAGAAGCCUCUACAACAUUGUAUACUAAAACGAUCAAAAUUAAAGGACACUAAACGUGGAGAGCGGCAGCUUGCGAUUCAAGAGAGUUGGAUUUUGUAUAUACCUUACUACCUCAGACAAUGACAGAAACAUUUAUGCCCCUGCUUAAAAUCCUCAUGUACUGAGGGACUGAGCUCAAACAAGGGCAAAUACGUCAUUUUGUCCGCGGCCAUAAAAAUCCUACGACAAUCCAAACACACAGCCACGUCCGGCGGAGACUACCAUGUCCAUCACCACCGUCACUGCCGACGCUUUUCACUCAACCCACCACCCGAACUCAUCCACCGACACGUGUCUCCAUCCCUUUCCCGUAUCCCCAAAACUUUGCUGUGCCGCUUUUUUUUCCCUCGGCCACGAGGGGGCACAGGCACGUGAUCAGCACGUGAUCGUCGUCUUCUCAGUACUACUCUCUGGCUUUCUUUCCCAUGGCCCUCCUCACACUUCAACAAGCCCAGCCUGGUAAGCAUCCAACCUCCUCCUUCCAUUUCUAGCUUCAAUUUUAGCUUCUUCUUUUUAAUUGCUAGCUAUAUUUAUGAUAUAUAUAUAUAUAUAUAUAUAUUUAGUCAAAGCUGCGUUGACGACUAUGAAAUUGAACCCGAUUAGUUUAAAGUUUGAACAAUAUUUAUUAAUUGCUUAGUUUUGUAUUGCUGUUUUGGGUGAUGCAUUAAUUAGAGCCUUUUCAAUUUAAUUAUCAGGUUUUGUUUUGAUUGUUUAGUUCUUUUGAUUCGAUUCGAAGAAUCUGUUGAGGGAUUCUGGGGCCUGAGGGGAAGUGAUUCAGCAAAUUGAUAUGUUUUGAUAGAAUAGAGCUCAUUAUUACUAUUAUUAUGAAUUUGGACUAUGUUUUAGAACUGUUCCAUAAAGCUUGUUAAAGUGAGACUUGAUUCCAGAAUUUAUAGGCAACAAUGAUGUGUAUACAACUAUACAUUAGAUAUCAGAAUGUGUAGAAUCCUGUCCAGGAAUCAUGAAUCGUUUUGGGUCUAUCUGGAGACACGCUAAUUGUUGAUUUGCUUGUUCUUCCGAGUAAGAAUAUGUUCCUUGCUUUUUAGGGUAUUUCUCCAAAGCUGGAUCCUAGUAUUUCUCAUUUCACAUUUAUGCAAAAGCGAGUUGUGUGAUUUAUCUCGGUUUUUGUUUACUUUAUAUAUGCAGAUGAUCAUGGUUGUUGUUAGAGCUGUGAUUGUGUUGGUAGUUGAGUUGAGGCAAACAUGACUAAAGCUCUUGUAAUCUUCCUUCACAGCAUGGCACCACGAUAUCUUCGUUCUUCGUUCAGACGGACUCCACGCAAGUUCUUUUGUCUAUUAUUGUUGUUAUUUGUGCCUGCUUGUAUAUUUGGACUCUAUACAGAUCACAUCAAAGUUUCAUAUUUCUUCCGGCCACUUUGGGAUAAGCCUCCAGCUCCAUUUAUACGGCUGCCACACUACUAUGCUGAAAAUGUAAGUUUGGACCAUCUCUGCCGCCUUCAUGACUGGUCCCUGCGUGCUGCCCCACGCCGUAUAUUUGAUGCCAUCAUCUUCAGCAAUGAAUUAGACUUGCUUGAUAUCAGGUGGCAUGAACUUGAUCCAUAUGUCACAAAGUUUUUGAUCAUCGAGGCGAAUACUACUUUCACUGGAUUCCCGAAACCUCUCUUCUUUGCUUCAAAUUGGAACAGGUUUGCCUUUGCUGAGGAAAAAAUUGUCCACUAUGUCUUUCCUGGCACAACUCUACUCCGAGGUUCACAUACAGACCCCUUCAAACUUGAGAGCAUGCAACGUGUAGCUAUGAAUUCUUUACUUCUGCAAGCAGGGAUUUCCUAUGGGGAUGUCAUCAUAAUGUCAGACGCUGAUGAGAUCCCUAGCCCGCAGACUUUGAAACUGUUGCAAUGGUGUGAUGGGAUCCCUUAUAAAAUGCAUCUUGAGCUGAAGCACUACAUGUACUCGUUUGAGUUCCCAGUGGACUAUAGCAGCUGGCGGGCUACAGCUCAGAUCUACACCCCAACUACCAAGUACCAGCAUAUCCGGCAAACUGAUGACCUGCUCUCUGAUGCAGGAUGGCAUUGUAGUUUCUGCUUUCGGCACAUUGAUGACUUUGUGUUCAAGAUGACUGCUUAUAGCCACGCAGACCGUGUAAGGCGGAGAGACUUUCUGGAUUACAGAAGAAUACAGAGGCUCAUUUGUCAAGGAGACGAUCUUUUCGAUAUGUUGCCUGAAGAGUACACAUUCAAGGACCUGAUCAAGAAGAUGGGAUCAAUACCCAAAUCAGCUUCUGCAGUUUACCUUCCAGCUUAUUUGAUAAAGAAUGCGGAGAAAUUUAGAUUCCUUCUCCCUGGAGGAUGUAUCAGAUAGACUGGUAGCUCUUCUAACUCUUCGAAGGUAAAGUAGUAAUUCUGAUCUUGGUGUUUUUUUGGAAAUCCAGAUAGUCUACGGUGCAAAGUUGAUGAGAUUAGGACUUUUAUGAAUUGUGAGAAACCAAACCAACCUUGAAAUACUGAACUCCAAACACUCCAAUAUAUAUUCCCUUUUAUGCCAUACAUUGUUUGCUUUAUCAUUACUCAAAGUGAGAUUCUUGUUCUAUGUUUCUCAGAUAAAAUACCAGGAAUUUUCCGAUUUUAAGGUUUCAAAAUAAUAACUUCUUGCUGCCUUUUCAACUUUAAAGUUACUGAUUGAGGGGAACCAUACCUUAUAGCUUAUUGCUGAAGAAGAAAAUGCUGGAACUGCUGGACUUUGAAGCAGAAAGUGCUUCUGAAUGUGACAUCAACGUAUAAAUUCCAUAUCUUCACUUUCACAUUGGCAGACGAACUGUACCCAAAACUAUAUACAUAGUAUUAUUAUUGGAGAAGUUUCUGGAAACAAUAGUUCCUUGAUGUAAAUGAUCCAAUAGUAAAUUACCAUAGCACCUAGUAAAGAAGUAGCAGCAUUUGAACUUGUAGCAGCUCACCUCUGGGAGGUAAAUUUGUAGCUUGCAAAUGUGUAAUGUGUCGACUUCAGGAGAAGACUUUGGCUUUAGGAUUGAGCAAGGAAACCAUGUGUGCUUGCAUUUCCUUAAGGUUACACACUUACACCGGCUAUGCUUACGUCCCUAAGUUGUUCCUAAUUACCCCAAUGAUCUGCUGCAAUACUAUAUCUCUAUAUUCACACAAAGCCAUGUCCAACCCUCAUGUUAAUACAAGGUGCCGGAGAUGAAGCUUUAAUUGGUAUAUGGUGAUGGCUUCAAGGAUGAGGAUUUGCUCCCAUCGCGGAUGCAGAAGCUUAACCUUCUUGAUGAAGAUAUGGAUCACAAUAGUAUAGAGUUCUGUGAGUUAAGCAAAUCCGAGAGAAAGGAUAUGAUUUCUAUGUUGAUCAUCACACAGACACAGGAGGAGGAGGAGGCUUGUAAACCAAGUUUUCGAAGAAGUCAUUGUAUUAGAGAGGUCUCCAAACUCUGAUGUCUUAACCACAGUGGUUCCCUUGGCAAGAAAAGGACCUCAGAGAAUAUGUGAGUUUCAUUAUUUUAUAUUCUCAUAAUAUUUUAUUUUUGAUGAACAAGAAUUACCAAGCAUGUUAAGAGUGAUUCAUGCUGUAGCAUUCUCCAGAAUGGUUGAAGUUAAGGAAACAUGAGUGUCCAUAAAGAUCACAAUGAUUCUUGUUGCGAAAGUACCAGACUUAAACACCAUACUUUAUAUCUCCUAACAUAACUAGCUAGUAUAUUGGACCUAAACACUUAACAGCAUGAUCCUCACCAAGAACAAGAUAAAGAGAAGGUUAACUAUCUCGAUGUCCUAAAGAACACUAGACUAUUUUACUUAGCAAAGUUAGAAGAGCUACCAGUCUCUCUGAUACAGCCUCCAGGGAGAAGGAACCUAAAUUUGUCCGCAUUCUUUAUCAGAUAAGCUGGAAGGUUAAUAGCAGAAGCUGAUUUGGGAAUCGGUCCCAUCUUUGCUGAUCACUUCCUUGAAUGUGUACCCUUCAGGCAACAUAUCGAAAAGAUCAUCUCCUUGACAAAUGAGCUUCUGUAUUCUUCCGUAAUCCAGAAAAUCUCUCCGCCACACACGGUCUGCGUGGCUAUAAGCACUCAUCUUGAACACAAACUCCUCAAUGUGCCGAAAGCAAAAACUACAAUGCCAUCCUGCAUCAGAGAGCAGGUCAUCAGCACGCCUCGAAUGCGUGUACCUGGUAUCCUUGCUGUAGAUAGUGGCUGCAGUCUUCCAGAUGCUGUCCAUNNNNNNNNNNNNNNNNNNNNUUGCUGAAGAUGAUGGCAUCGAAAAUACGGCGUGGGGUGGCACGCACGGACCAGCCAUGAAGGCGGCAGAGAUGUUCCAUGCUUGCAUUUUCUGCAUAGUAGUGUGGCAGCCAUGUGAACGGAGCUGGCGGCGUAUCCCAAAGUGGCCGCAAGAAGUAUGUAACUUUCCGGUAAUCUGUAUAGAAUCCUAACAUACAUGCAGACACAAAUAUCAACAGUAGGAGAUAAAAGAAGUUGCGUGGAGUUCGUCUGGAAUUAGGACGAAGAGAUCGUGGUGCCAUGCCGUGAAGGAUAUUUCUUCUCUUUUUGAAAGUAUAGCCGGGUGGUGUGCCAUCAAGCCUUGAUUAAAGAAACCGCGGAAUCCAUAACGGGACGUGGUGCCUAUACCCCAAUUUACAAAACUCAAGAGAACUUCCUGAAAUUAAUACAAACAUAGAGGUUUAGUCAUGUCAAAAAUCAUAGCUCUAACAAUCUUGAUCUACCUGCAUAGAGAAAACGUUUUUAAAUCAUGAUGAUAAACAAUGUACCUCACUGCUUUUGCACAAAUUGUAAUACUACCUGGUUUUCUUUAUCACAACUCAAAGUGACUGAAAGUGAGAUUCUUGAAACCCCACCAUGUCAUCUGAUAAAGGGGAAUUGAAAAGCCCUUUGGCAAAUAUUCAAAUACAUCGAUCGUAUGUUUUAAACCCAACAAAUCGUUCAAGAAAAACCAUGUCUAUCAUAGUUUUUUUGCUCACACCAUAAGACAUCAGUUCAAGAGCCUAUCUAACAUUUUAUGAAACAGCAACCAAAUCUCUCUUAGAUAAUUCAGGGUCUAAUAUGCAUUCCAGAAAUUCAAAUCCUAAAUUAAGAAAUCAAACUCGUAAAAACUCUUAGAAGGACAAUGAAACCAAUAAGAUAGAGAUAUAUACCUCCAGUGUCCGCAGGUACAAGAGAGCGAAGGAGGACAGCAAAGCCUAAGAUGGCAGAAAUUCUUGAGUUUGAGACUGAGCAGUCACCCGUCUAAAUUACAAAGAUCAACAAAGUGGGUAUGUGGUUGCUGUUCAAGCGGGGGGGGGGGUAGAUGUUUUGAAGAAAUUUUGUCUCCAUAUAGGAGAAUUUUCCCAACAAAGUGGAUAUGGACAAAAUUUGGUAGCUUUAUAAUAAACACUGGUGCGGUCGUUCUCAAGUCUUAAUGUUUGUGUAAGUUUUAUUAAGUGUAUGACUUGUGUUGGGCUUAAUUAAAUAGAGCCCAACUAAACUCGCUAGGUGUAUUUAGAGAUUUUAUAAAUUUGCUGGCCGAGUUUAAAAAGUUUGCUAGGUGUUCUUAAAUAUUUUCCUGCAGGAUGACCCAAUAGACCAGAAACAAGCUAGGUUAACCAGUUCUGUCAUACUAUCAAAUUCGAAAGUGAACUAAUUUUCUCAUCAACUUGGCACUCUAACUGUCUAGAUUUCCUAAAAAACACUAAGAUCAGGAGAUAACUCCUUGGCAAAGUUGAGAUCAAUUCUUGAAGAACCACCGUGUUUUUCUGAUGAAAUGGAAUUGAAAUAGUCCUCCAACUGCUGUUUAUAGCUAAUUUCAAGAUUCAAGUUGUAAUUAAGUCAGUGAAUUGAACGAUUCAUACCUAUAACAAUGCCUAAAGUUAAUGAAGUCUCUAAUGCAUGUCUCAUAAAGAGAGUAGGAAAACCAAGUACAAUCUUACGCCAUAGCAAAAGUGAUAAUAUAUUUGGCUAAUCGCAUCACACAAAUGUGCUUCUUAACUUGUAUGAAAAACAAAGAUCUACAAAACAUUAUGGGACAAAGUUUGAACGGUGAUUUAAUACAAUUCAAAAAAUAUAUAUGAUUACAAUCUUAGCUUUGAAUGUAUCAUAGAUUCAUAGCUAUGAACAGCGUUAUAUGAUCCAAAUAAAAACUUUCCAAGACGGUGUGGACUAAACCAAAUAGGUCGGAAAAUUGGUGUCUCAAGGGUGGCUAAAUUGGUUCUGACUUUUGUGCCACCCUAGAUUAUGAACAAAUCUUGGCCGCCUGAAUUUCCAGUGCACUACCUUGUUAUUUGGGAUGGAGAAACCAAGCAAAUUAGGCAUCAUGGUUGGUCAGAUUUUUGAUGCAUAAAUCCAUUCAGUAGUCCAUUCUAUAAACUGGUGGUCCUGGACUAUGCUUCGAUUCAUUUAUAAUAGGAGCAUGCAAUCAUGCAUGUCCCUGUGAUUGACUUUGAAAGUUUUGGCGACUACACCGACCCGGAGUACACGUACAUUUCAGUCACCGUCAAGUGUUGCGAACGAUCUAAGCCAUGCCUUCAAAAGAUGCGAGUUAAAAGAAAACACUACCGGGAAAGUCCUGACACACAACAUCUCUAGUUUAUCUUUAACGGUAACUAAUUGUGUCUAAAAUAUUUAUGAUAACAUAAAUCUAAAAGGACUAGGAAGAACGUUUUAUGGGUAUCGGGAUUGAAACAGUGGGUAUCGGGAUUGCAACAGUCCUCGUCGUACUUGACAGAAACGAAAAUAAAGAACACAACAAUUUGUUUACUCAAUAAAACCUCAAUUUGAGGAAAAACACUGCUGGGGCUUUAACUCUUAAAAGCCUCUAUUGAAAAGAAAAUACACUAUGAAUCAAGAACGAGUCAAUUACAAACUUUCUAGCACUAACUGCGGCUAUUAUCUCUAGAACCCCAGUAGAUAUGGUUGAAACACUCUUCUUCUUCAAAUAAUCUCUUCUUCAAUCUCCAAGGAACUAACCACAUCCUUGAUCCUUUAAUCACAUAAACAAGUUCAACUCAACACGAAACAGUUGAACUUGUGACCUUACAAAGUAUUGCAGCGGAAAUACUAUCUCUCAAAUGCUAUGCGUGCAAAGAUAGUUCUCUAAGAAUAAUUGUGCAAAAUGUAUUCUUCCAAUAGCUGUUGCAUCUUCUUUUAUAGAUGAAGAACUUCUACUCUUUAUUCACGUCUUUAAUCAGAUUGGUUUCCAAUAGAUAAGUCCUUCUCCUAUUACUAUACAAAGACAACAAUAAUAUCAGAUAUAAAAUAUAUCCCAAAUCAAAUAAUAAUAAUCAGAGUAUAUAUAACCUAAUCACAUUAGGUUUUCUUCCUUUUCAAGUGCACGAAUCUCAUGAUUUAAUGAAUCAACAUCCUAACCAAAUUAGGAUCCUUAUCUAUGAACGUAAUAGCUUCUUUCCCUGUGUAUAUCAUAUCCAAUUAAACAUAGAUAUAUAUAUAUAUAUAUAUACAUAGAGGAUGUAGAGCGGACGUCCGCACUCGGCUUAAAGUGCGGACGUCCAUCCGUUCUCCACCCUCCGGCGCCGGCGAUGGCGCGCCUCCACCCCAGAAGACUCCAGCAGCGUCCCCGACCACUUCUCCUCCCCGGCGAGUUCCGUUUUUUUCCAGUUUCCGGCGAGAUCGACUUUGUUUGAAGUUUUGGAUGAUCUCGCCAGAAAACCGGAAAAGAAUGGACUUGCCGGGGAGAGAAAGUGGUCGGGGACGCUGCUGGAGUCUUCUGGGGUAGAGGCGUGCCGGCGCCGGAGGGUGAAGAACGGACGGACGUCCGCACUUUAAGGCCGGUGCGGACGUCCGCUCCACAUCCGGCCUAUAUAUAUAUAUAUAUCCAUAUAUGUCAUAGUGAAAAUAGCCUUGCUUUUUUUGAACUCAAAGACAAUUUUGUUAUUAGUACUAAAGUAUAGGGUACAAUACGAAUCGAUUCGUUGCUGGAAACAAUAGUUCCUUGAUGUAAAUGAUCCAAAAUAGUAAAUUACCAUAGCACCUAGUAAAGUAGCAGCAGCAUUUGAACUUGUAGCAGCUCACCUCUGGGAGGUAAAUUUGUAGCUUGCAAAUGUGUAAUGUGUCGACUUCAGGAGAAGACUUUGGCUUUAGGAUUGAGCAAGGAAACAACGUUGUGCUUGCAUUUCCUUAAGGUGACACACUUAAACCGGCUAUGCUUACGUCCCUAAGUGGUUCCUAAUAACCCCAAUGAUCUGCUGCAAUAAUAUAUCUCUUUAUUCACACAAAGCCAUGUCCAACCCUCAUGUUAAUACAAGGUGCCGGAUAUGAAGCUUUAAUUGGUAUAUGGUGAAUUGAUGAUGGCUUCAAGGAUGAUGACUUGCUCACAUCGCGGAUGCAGAAACUUAACCUUCUUGAGGAAGAUAUGGAUCACAAUAGUAUAGAGUUCUGUGAGUUGAGCAAAUCCGAGAGAAAGGAUAUGAUUUCUAUGUUGAUCAUCAGACACAGGAGGAGGAGGAGGAGGAGGAGGCUUGUAAACCAAGUUUUCGAAGAAGUCAUUGUAUUGAGAGAGGUCUCCAAACUCUGAUGUCUUAACCACAGUGGUUCCCUUGGCAAGAAAAGAACCUCAGAGAAUAUGUGAGUUUCAUACUUUCAUUAUUAAUUUUAUAUUCUCAUAAUAUUUUAUUUUUGAUGAACAAGAAUUACCAAGCAUGUUAAUUAAGAGAAGAUUGAUUCAUGUUGUAGCAUUCUCCAGAAUGGUUGAAGUUAAGGAACCAUGAGAAUGUCCAUAAAGAUCACAAUGAUUCUUGUUGCGGAAGUACUAGACUUGAACACCAUACUUUAUAUCUCCUAACAUAACUAGCUAGCAUAUUUGACUUGAACACUUAACCGCAUGAUCCUCACCAAGGACAAGAUAAAGAGAAGGUUAACUAUCUCGAUGUCCUAAAGAACACUAAGAUCAGAAUGACUAUUUUCCUUAGCAAAGUUAGAAGAGCUACCAGUCUCUCUGAUACAGCCUCCAGGGAGAAGGAACCUAAAUUUGUCCGCAUUCUUUAUCAGAUAAGCUGGAAGGUUAAUAGCAGAAGCUGAUUUGGGAAUCGAUCCCAUCUUGCUGAUCACUUCCUUGAAUGUGUACCCUUCAGGCAACAUAUCGAAAAGAUCAUCUCCUUGACAAAUGAGCUUCUGUAUUCUUCCGUAAUCCAGAAAAUCUCUCCGCCACACACGGUCUGCGUGGCUAUAAGCACUCAUCUUGAACACAAACUCCUCAAUGUGCCGAAAGCAAAAACUACAAUGCCAUCCUGCAUCAGAGAGCAG
Molecule: long non-coding RNA, 44298 nt
Filed under: Fragaria vesca (wild strawberry)
Lineage: Eukaryota; Viridiplantae; Streptophyta; Magnoliopsida; Rosales; Rosaceae
Description: long non-coding RNA (FVES_LNC000062)
Rfam family: MIR396 microRNA precursor family (bases 1636-1753)
Source: RNAcentral